RNAcentral lists this long non-coding RNA (30818 nucleotides) under Fragaria vesca (wild strawberry). RNAcentral's name for it is "long non-coding RNA (FVES_LNC005564)". The record is from RNAcentral. Lineage: Eukaryota; Viridiplantae; Streptophyta; Magnoliopsida; Rosales; Rosaceae.
UACACUCCCCCUCAAGUUGGUGCAUAGAUAUCAAUCAUGCCCAACUUGCCAACCGAGUCGUCAAACACUUUCCUUGACACUCCUUUCGUAAGAACAUCUACCAAUUGAUCUUCUGUAUACACAAAAGGAAAACGGAUUAUUUUCCUGUACAAGUUUUCCUUGAUAAAAUGCCGAUCUACCUCCACAUGCUUGGUCCGGUCAUGUUGAACAGGAUUAUGAGCAAUUUCAAUUGCAGACGUGUUAUCACAAUGCAAGUCCAUAGGUUGUUUGAGUUUAAAACCCAAUUCUUUCAACACAUUACGAAUCCAUAACAUCUCACAAACUCCAUGUGCCAUACCUCAAAAUUCUUCUUCAGCACUUGACCUGGCAACAACCUUCUGCUUCUUACUACGCCAAGUUACAAGGUUUCAUCCAACAAAUGUAAAAUACCCAGAUGUAAAUCGUCUGUCUGUUUUAUCACCAGCCCAAUCAGCAUCGGUGUACCCUACAACUUCCAAUUCACCCUUCUUUUCGAACAACAAGCCUUUGCCAAGUGCCAUCUUAAGAUACUUCAGAAUACGGUACACUGCAUCCAUAUGCUCUUCACUAGGACAAUGCAUAAAUUGACUAACCACACUCAUAACAUAAGCAAUAUCAGGUCUGGUAUGAGAAAGAUAAAUAAGUCUCCCUACUAGACAUUGAUACCUUCCUUUAUCAGUCGGGACUUGAUCCGGAUAGAUGGCGAGGUUGUGGUUCAUCUCAAUCGUUGUCUCAACCGGUUUGCAGUCAAGCAUUCCAGUCUCAACUGACAAAUCAAGUACAUACUUAUGUUGAGACAAAGAAAUCCCCUGCUUUGACCUUGCAACUUCAAUUCCAAGAAAAUACUUCAAUUGUCCAAGGUCCUUCAUCUCAAACUCCUUCGAAAGAUACUUUUGUAGAGCCUCCAUCUCCUUUGGGUCAUCCCCUGUGACAAUCAUAUCAUCAACAUACACAAUCAGAGCAAUGAUUUUACCCUGACUACGCUUGAUGAACAAAGUGUGAUCCGAGUUGCUUUGUCUAUAACCAAACAUCUUCAUUGAUUUGGAGAAUCUUCCAAACCAAGCUCUAGGAGAUUGCUUCAAACCAUACAAGGACUUCUUUAACUUGCAAACCUUGCCUGCAUCGCACGGUUUACUUUUGACUCCUGGCGGCAUGUCCAUAUACACUUCUUCCUCCAAGUUUCCAUUGAGGAAAGCAUUCUUCACAUCAAACUGUCGCAGAGGCCAAUCUUUAGUUGCUGCAAGUGAAAUCAAGAUUCGUACAGUGUUGAUCUUUGCUACAGGAGCAAACGUUUCUUCAUAAUCAAUGCCAUACCGCUGGGUGUAUCCCUUAGCAACCAACCGUGCUUUAUACCUGUCAAUACUCCCAUCUGCUUUCAACUUUAUGGUGAAUACCCAACGACAUCCAACGGUCUUCUUCCCAGCUGGUUUAGGCACAAUAUCCCAAGUCGAGUUUUUCUGUAAUGCCUUUAGUUCUUCAUUCAUUGCUUGAGUCCACUUGGGAUCCACCAUUGCAUCCUGUACACUACUAGGAAUAGAAACACUGGAUAAUUGAUUAAUGACAAGGGCGUGUGACUCGGACAACCUAUGGUUAGACAUGUAAUUAGCUACAGGAUACUUAGUCUUGGCUUUGAUAUCAGGUUCAUAUUGUUUCUUUGGAAUACCCUUUGUAACCCUUUGUGAUUUCCUAGACACAAUAUUAUCUACCUCAGAUAAUUGAUUUGAAUUUAAAGGUACCUGAGUAGGGACAUUCGUGGCAGAUUCUUCGAUUGAUGGUGUUAAGAAAGGGAAAACAUCUGAAGAAGCACUUUCAGGACAAUUUUCUGUCAAAUCCGUGAUUGUUGCCUUUUGAUGUGCAGAAGCUACAAGUGUCAGCAAGGGAUCAGUAGCCAACUGAGUUGGUCUGCAAGUGUCAGUACCACCAACUGAUGGUGUCCGCGUGUCAGCACAAGGAAGAGCAGCUCGGCUGGAACUGCUCGGCUCGCUUGCGGUCCUUGCGUCAAAGUCUGGACGACCUUGGCUAUGUUGGCUCGGCUCAUCCUCGGUCGGCGGCUUACCAACGUGCAACAUGGGCUCUGCUGCAUCACGUGGGCCAGUUGGUGAUGGUGAUGUGACUGAUGUGUGUUCAGAUUCUGUCUCUUUCUCCAGAUUCAACUGAUGGUUGUUAUUCGUGGCUCUCUCGACUCCGAAUCUGGACUCCAAUGCUUCUAAUUCUUCAAAUUCUUCGAACUCAAAUAAUUGCCGAGAAUUUUCUUCACCAAUUCGCUCCCCCUGAAGGGAAGACUCGGAGACUCCCCUUGAAUAGUAAGGUUCAGAUUCGCGAAAAGAAACGUCCAAGGAUACAUGAAUGGUGUCGGUGAGCGGAUCAUAACAACGAUAGCCUUUCUGAAACUCGGCAUACCCAAGAAAGAUACACUGUUUGGCACGAGGAUCAAGUUUGCUUCUUUGCAGCUUGGGAACAUGAACAUAUACUAUGCAUCCGUAAACACGGGGCUCCAAGUUAGGCAAUGAUGGUACGGAAAGAAGAUAUUGGAGCUGCUGUAGAGGACUUUGAAAUUCGAUCACCCGAGAGGGAGUACGAUUAAUGAGAUAGGCAGCAGACUUCAAAGCUUCUCCCCAAUAUUCAAGAGGUACAUUCAUGCCAAAUAAGGAUGCUCGAACAACUUCAAGCAACUGACGAUUCUUUCGCUCUGCCAAUCCAUUUUGUUGAGGAGUAUAGGAAUUUGAAGUCUGAUGUCAAAUUCCGUGAGCUUGCAUAAAUUCUUGCAUAGGACCAUUAACAUACUCUCCGCCAUUAUCAGAUUGAAAAACUCGAAUAGCUUGUUGAUACUGUGUAGACACCAUCUUGUGAAAUUCUUUGAACAAGGAACAAACCUCACUCUUAUUGUUCAAGAGAGACACCCAAGUCAUUCGAGUACAGUCAUCAAUAAAAGUCACAUAAUAUCGAGCUCUAGAAUGACUAGGGAUCGUGGCAGGUCCCCAAACAUCAGAAUGAAUUUUCAUGAACGGAAUAGGACUUUUAUUAAGACUAGGUGAAUAUGAAAUCCGGUGGCUUUUAGCCAAUUCACAUACAUCACAUCGAAAUUCUGAAUCACUAAUAUUUGAAAAUAAAUGGGGUUGUAGUUUCUUAAGAUAACUAAAAGAUAGAUGUCCCAAUAACCAUACUGUUGCCUUUGCAUUUUCUACUCCAUUGACCUGAUUCACUUGUCCCAAUAAUUGUUGCUCUCCUUGUUCUGUCAGAUCCAGGUAGUAAAGUUUUCCCUUUCUAGUACCACAACCAAGAACCCGUCGAGUUAGAAUGUCUUGAAACACACAAAACGAUAGAUAAAAAGUCACAAUACAUGAUAAUGCUUGAACGAUUUGACCAACCGAGAGGAGAUUAUAUGCUAAUGAUGGGACAACUAAAACAGAAUCAAGAGUUAAUGUGUUGGAGAGGACAAUAGAGCCUUCUCCGAUGACCGGAGUUGGAGUACCAUCAGUAGUAGAAACAAUAUUUUGAGUGGAGGGUUUAAAUGUUAUCAAGAGACUAGGAUCAUUAACCAUGUGGUCUGACGCCCCUGAAUCAAUUAUCCAAGAACUAUUCCUAGAUACCUUACCGGUCAUACCUGUUUGUGCGACAUUAGCGGAUGCAUCAAUGGAUGGUUGUUGUUCAUCUGUAGUAGCUAAGGCAGCAUUUGCUUGAUUCUUUCAAGGUUUUCUUGUGAAAUCCCACCAAUUUGGGUAGCCGAUGACUUCAUAGCAUCGUUGCUUGCUAUGACCCAAGUCUCCACAAACCGGACACUUGACAUUUGCAUAGGGAUUUGGUUUUGCUGGGAAGUUACGUCGUGGAGCAUUUGAGAAGCCUGGAGGAGGUCCUUGUUUGCGUUGGACAACCAUAACAGAAGACUCAGAGGCUUGUCCCAUAACUUGUUGAUUAGAAUGCACCUUUCGAACAUAGGCAUAACUUUGCUCCAAGAUGAAUUUUGGGUCUUUGUGAAGGAUCUCACCAUGAACUUGAUCAUACUCUGAAUCGAGCCCACUAAGGAACAUGUGAACUCGCAUACGCGCCAUAGCAGUUGUUUCUUGAACAACUCCAGCUACUGUGUUGUUUUGAGAGGCAAUACGUUGAUCGAUCUCCUGAAACAUUCCCACCAAUUCAUUAUAAUAGGUAGGAAGAGGCCGACCAUUCUGUCUCGCUGCAAAACACUUCUUAUUUAAUUCAAAAAUUCGGGUUUCAUCAGAAUCAUCAUAAAAGGUCUUCUCAACUGCUUCCCGAACAUCUUUGGCUGUUGGUAGUCGGAUAUAUCGAUUGAUAAGUGAUGGCUCCAUGGAGUCAAUGAGCCAACUCUUUACUCUCUCAUUCUCUGUGGCCCAAGUUUCAAAUUCAGGCGAAUUCUCAUCUGGUGCGAUUCUGGCUCCAGUGAGGUAACCAACCUUACCUCAUGCUCCAAUCCUCAUCUUCAUAAGAGGUGCCCAUAUUGAAUAAUUGGUUUCAUUCAAGGCAACACUGGUCGGAAAGGCCAAGUUGUCUUGAGUGGUGGUGUGAUAAUGGUUGACGACCGGAGGCAUGAGUGCAAAGGGGUUUUUAGGUCCGUUGAUUUGAUCUCCCAUUUGAAUAUUAAACUAAAAAGGUUGAAGGAUAGAACAGAGUGGGGCAAGUCUAUUGUGGGAGUGUUUUGGUGAAGCCGAGCCGAGCCGAGCCAAGUUAAUGCUUUGACUGAAGACUGUGUUGAUGCGCAAAGGCUGGCAGAGACAAAGAAACAAAAAAGUUGGUAGAGCUUUUGUCUGUUUGCUGAAAGGGUUUACGGCUAGGUUCGGAAAAAGAAUGGUUUUGACUUUGCUUUGGUUUGUUUGUGGUACGCAGCGGAUUUUGCUUUGGGUGUGAUAAAAUUCGGGUUUCGGGUUUUGAAAAAAAAAAAAAACAAAGUUCGAUUGGCUCUGAUGCCAAGUAGAAAAAUAAGGAUUCAAUAUAAUUUGGAAUGCUUCAAUAUCUAUUCUUCUCCAUAUUGGAGGUUUAUAUACAGAUACAAUUAUAAUGCUAAUAGGAAAAGUAUCUCCUACAUCUAUACAAAAAUAUUUAACCUACACAUACAAGGAAAGUAAAUAUUUACAAAUAUUCUACACAGACGACUGAAUUCGGUCAAGAUUCGGGGCUCAUUGCAAAACAAUGAGUCUUGUAAAUCUCGUCAUUCCACUAAAAAUCAACAUAUUACACGUCAGAAACAGACACUUCUGCUCAAAGUUACCGCACCACGAAUUUCAUAGCCAGAGUUGAAAUCUUUUAUCCGAGAUACCAAAAAUAUCCAAAAUCGUAGCUUCCUUGAGAUCCCAACAGCAAACAUCCUCUUUAUUCGAGAAUUUUCAAUUUUUCAAUCAUUUGUCUUACGAAUGUAACGCUUCCUCCUUUGGAUCUUUUUCUUGUAACACCAUUCCUUAUUGUUAACAUUAGGCUGUAAGUAGAAUGUCAUCAAUUGUAAAGGAGGUGGCCAUGGAGGUUUGAGUGAUUGUGGGAGGAACACAUCCUUAGUCUUUGCAGGCAACUUGGGAACACAUGACAGGACCCACCCCGAAUUUCACCCUGAAACCUGAAGUAAAUCUUGCGGGGUCCACCUCCAAGAAAAAAUUUACCAAAAAUUCAGCACAACUUACCUUGAAAAUAGAUAACCCUUACCUAAAAAAAAAAUUCAGACAAACACUUUUAUUAUAAAUCCUCCAUCCUCAACUCUUGGAGCCUUCCUACUCCCCAAGUUCAUCACAACAUGACCUAGUUAACUAACAACAAUCUCAUAGGUCAUCAGAGUAAUUCUAAUAAAGAAGGAAAACAUAGAUAAGAGAGCCAACGAAAGCUGUGAUAUUGACUAUGCCUCAACUCCGUGUACGCCCGACCUCUUCUACGCUAACCUGCAAUCUGGGCAUUUUAAACCGAAAAGCCCAGGGGAAAGUAUUUGAAAAAUGUUAGAGUGAGUGGAUGAAAAAUAAUCAAGUAACUGAUCGCAAAAUAACUAAACAAACUUAAUUACUUUCCCAUUUUCCAAUAAUCAAGAAAUUUGUGGCGUGCAAGUGUUGAUAAAACCUUCAUAAAGAAAAUCCCAAGAAAACAGACUAGCCCCGCUAGUCAAAAUAACGACAAAGAUAAAUAAUAACCUUCGUAAAAGAAAGUACCAAAAUAAUGGACUAGCCCCGCUAGUCAAUAACAACAUUAAAGAUACUUAAAGACCUUUGUAAAAAGAAAUAUCGAAAAGAUGGACUAGCCCCGCUAGUCAAGACAAUAAAUAUUAAAUAAGAAGCAGCUAUAGCCAUACAAGUGAGCCUCCCAUGCUCGGGUGCCUCCCAGGCAAAAGUACUCUCAUACUCCCUACACCUUCACGUUAUGAUAACAGAGAGGGUGUAGGGUUUGCGUGAUGUCGUCGACUACAUCACAUCACCCGAAGGCAAAAAGGGCCUGAGUAACCCCACUUAAAACGUGGAAGCCACAUCGCCUCGAAAGGCAGAAUAACAUGCUAGCAUUAGUAAUAUAUUAUCUGACAAGUAUGGCAUAAAUAACGAAACAUAAAUCCAUGUGAGUUUUCCCGAAACUCAUAACUAAAGCAUAAGUACGAUUCCCAACCGUACUCAAAGAAUUCAAAGAGCAAAGAAAUUAAUUAAAUUCAACGACGUGUCCCACACGUUAAAAUGUUCAAUGAAAUAAUUAACUUAUAUAAUUAUCAUCUUUCGAAAACUAGGCAAUAUGCAAAUCUGGAUAUAAUCUCAAAUCCGAAAAUCAUAAAGAAUAUCAAAACUGAAAUACCAAAUCUCUAACCCAAGCUCAAAUCCAUAAGUUCAUUAUCGAAAACAUAACCAAUAUGUCAAUCUCAAAUAAAUUCCAUAACCAAUAUGCCAAUCUCAAAUAAAUUCCAUAAAUCAUGGCAAAGAUUAAUCAAUGCAUCAAAAUCAAAUAAAUUCAAAGACCAUUUCAUAAGCUGAAAUUACAAUUUAAGCUUGGAAAAUAUAAUGGCAACUUAUAAAAUCAUGCAUGCAAAUUAAUUAAAAACUAAAAUGUCCACUCACAGAUUUAGACCUAAGCCUGAUGAAACCCGAAUCGCCACUCAAGCGAGGUCCUCUCAUAUCCUGACACAAUAACCAUGCUUAGAACCAAACUUCAAUUCCAGAAAAUAAAUACUUAAAUAUAAACACCAAAACUCUUCUGCUUAACUCACUACCCUUACCCUUAAUUACUAGGGUUAAGUUCACUGGAUUCCCACCAAACUCCACCACAACCUUAAUUCAUCAAUUCUAACAUUCUAGAAUCAAUACCAAGGAAAUCCAACGGUCGAAUUUUCAUUCUAACAACCGCCAAAAUUCUCAAUCUUUGAAAAAUCCCAAACCUAACCAAAACUCGUCCAAAAAUUCCAAACUUCACAUUAUUAAACUCCUCUCAUUAAAACAAACUCAAAAACAUGAAAAACUACCCCUAAGGGGCGGCGCCGCCGUCUUCUCCGCCAGUAGCCGAACUCCGGCGACCUCCAAUGACACGACCCACCCCGAAUUUCACCCUGAAACCCAGAGUAAGUCGUGCGGGGACCACCUCCAAGGAAAAUUUACUGAAAAGAUUAAGAAAAUCUCCCUUGUAGAUGGACAACUCUAACUCGAAAAUUUCAUAUUACACUUUUACUUCAUCACUUCCGAACCUCACUUAAUAUACAAUAAUCUCAAAGUAUUCAGAGCUACUAAACACAAGCGGAAGCAAGAAAACACGAGUAGGUUGAACAAGUAACCUACUGGCGAAAACUGGCAGAAAUGCGGGUGACUAUGCCUCGUCUCCUACUAGAUCCAACCCGAACUCUGCAGACUGGGCAAUUUAAAACAAAGGGCCCAGGGGAAAACAUUUAAUAAUGUUAGAGUGAGUGGACAAAAAUAAAAUAAUAAAUAAAAUAUUUAUGUUUCCCCAAAAUUAAUUUCUAAGGAAAAAUCGAAUGCAUGCCGCAAGCGAUAAAACUUUUAUCUCAUAAAAUAUCGAGCCUCUCAGACUCUAUAAUAUAUGUAUGUAUUUCACUCGUCCAUACUCCCUAUAUAAAUUCAUGGGUCUAUAUAGGGCUACUACGCUCGCGUCCAACGCUCACGUCACGCCUUAAUGCGGUGCUACACUACGCCAUCAAGGUGGACAGACGGGUGUAUAAAUAUGUGUCCAUACCCCCUAUAUGAAUUAAACACUCAAAUAGGGCUACUACGCUUACGUCCAACGCUCACGUCACACCAUAAUGCGGCUAUAUGCUACGCCAUUAAGGUGGACAGACACAUAUGGCUAGCUAGCAUUUUCUAUACAUACUCUCUCAUAUAUACAUAUUUAUAUUCACCGAAAAUCCCAUUUUCGGUAACUCUCUCAAAGAAAUAAAAAGCGUCAAAAUUAAUUGACGUCAAAACUCCAACAAAAGGANNNNNNNNNNNNNNNNNNNNNNNNNNNNNNNNNNNNNNNNNNNNNNNNNNNNNNNNNNNNNNNNNNNNNNNNNNNNNNNNNNNNNNNNNNNNNNNNNNNNNNNNNNNNNNNNNNNNNNNNNNNNNNNNNNNNNNNNNNNNNNNNNNNNNNNNNNNNNNNNNNNNNNNNNNNNNNNNNNNNNNNNNNNNNNNNNNNNNNNNNNNNNNNNNNNNNNNNNNNNNNNNNNNNNNNNNNNNNNNNNNNNNNNNNNNNNNNNNNNNNNNNNNNNNNNNNNNNNNNNNNNNNNNNNNNNNNNNNNNNNNNNNNNNNNNNNNNNNNNNNNNNNNNNNNNNNNNNNNNNNNNNNNNNNNNNNNNNNNNNNNNNNNNNNNNNNNNNNNNNNNNNNNNNNNNNNNNNNNNNNNNNNNNNNNNNNNNNNNNNNNNNNNNNNNNNNNNNNNNNNNNNNNNNNNNNNNNNNNNNNNNNNNNNNNNNNNNNNNNNNNNNNNNNNNNNNNNNNNNNNNNNNNNNNNNNNNNNNNNNNNNNNNNNNNNNNNNNNNNNNNNNNNNNNNNNNNNNNNNNNNNNNNNNNNNNNNNNNNNNNNNNNNNNNNNNNNNNNNNNNNNNNNNNNNNNNNNNNNNNNNNNNNNNNNNNNNNNNNNNNNNNNNNNNNNNNNNNNNNNNNNNNNNNNNNNNNNNNNNNNNNNNNNNNNNNNNNNNNNNNNNNNNNNNNNNNNNNNNNNNNNNNNNNNNNNNNNNNNNNNNNNNNNNNNNNNNNNNNNNNNNNNNNNNNNNNNNNNNNNNNNNNNNNNNNNNNNNNNNNNNNNNNNNNNNNNNNNNNNNNNNNNNNNNNNNNNNNNNNNNNNNNNNNNNNNNNNNNNNNNNNNNNNNNNNNNNNNNNNNNNNNNNNNNNNNNNNNNNNNNNNNNNNNNNNNNNNNNNNNNNNNNNNNNNNNNNNNNNNNNNNNNNNNNNNNNNNNNNNNNNNNNNNNNNNNNNNNNNNNNNNNNNNNNNNNNNGGGAGGCUGCUUGGAGGGGUUGUUGCACGGGAGGAGGGCUACAAAACCGUACCAAGCUUGCCCGGAUUGGUGGCCGGAGGAGGAAGUUCCGGCGAAGGGAAGCUCGGGGCAGUCGGUUCUUCGGGCGGCACCGCUCACUCACGGCGGCGCGUAGGGGGGCUGUCACCGGUCUAGAAAUGUUGCUGGGAGGGAGACCGACCGAACGGGACCGGUCCGGCGGCGAACGGAGGUCGGACGGCGGCGGGAGGACGGCCGGAAUUCUGCUGGGUGUAGUGAGAAGAAAAUCGGGUGGGAGGAGAGAGAAUCGGGAGAGAGGGAGAAGAGAAAGAAGAAAGAAAUGGGUUGGGCUCGGCCCAGCCGACCCAACACCCCUUUUUAACCCAAACUUCCAAAAUAAAAACACCCCGAAAAAUAAUACCCGAAUAAAAAUUACCUUUUACUAGCUAAAAUUACCAUUUUUACCGUCGUCGUAUUUUCCUCAUACGAAUAAUCCUCCGCACAUAAUCGUCCCCGAAACCCCUCUAGGGACCAAUUAAACUAUUUACUCAUGAUCAAGACGGUAAAAUUCUUAUUAUCAUCACGCUAGUAAAUAAGGUAAAAAUAUAAGGGUCGGGAUGUGACAUCCAAUGCUUCCCAAAUUUUAACACAAUAUUCCUCUCAACACACACAACAACUUCCAUAACUAGCACUUAGUUCAAUUCUAAGCUUAACUAGGGUAAUCGAAUCAAAACAUCCAAAAAUCCCUAAUUCUAACCCUAGACCGAAAAUCCUCCUACACACUUCUAAUUGGUUAGUUACCUUCUAGGGGAUUGUUACACACGAAGAGCACUUCCAAAUGGGACCCGAAUCACCAGUGAUGGUAGCUGGAGGAGCGAGUUCUGGCGACGGACUUCAACUGCACAGUCGGAGAUUCCGAGCGUGCCUACCCCCACACGGUGGCGCUAGAGUGUCUCUCUCUGGUCUAGGAAGAUGGCUGGGUCGACGACGGAUCAUUUGGGACCGGUGCGGCGGUCUGUGGUGGCCGGACGGUGACGGACGGAGCUGGGGUAUCCGAUGGGUCGGGGAAGGCUCGGGGAAGAGGAUAGAGGAGGGAGAGAAGAAAUAGGCUUCUCCUACCCGGUCCACAAUUUAAUACCCACAAAAUAAAACCCAAUAAAAAUUUUACCUUUUACUAAUUACUGACUACCCUUUUUAUCUGAUAACUUUUUCAUGCUAACUCCGACUUUAACGUAUAGCAUGUAUACGAAUUCGUAUUAACGUCCUCUACGACCUCCUUUAAGAAAUUUUCCCAAAAUAAUUUUCCUACCAAAAUUCAACUCUAGGGUUCUUAAGUAGUAAACAGUUACUCAAAGCGGUAAAAGACCAAAAUAAUACCAAAAGUAAAUAACCGUAAUUUAAUUUAAGAACCAGGAUGUGACAACACAUACGAGUAUAAGUCUUGGAGUUGGAAAAAUAUGAGGAACAGCUUUGGAGGGUGAAGAAUGUCACAUCCCGGUUCUUAAGUUAAUUUGUGGUUAUUUACUUUUUUGUUACUUUGACAUUUUACCGUUUUAAGUAACUGUUUACUGUUAAAGGACCCUAGAAUUGACUUUUUGUAGGAAAAUUAUUUUAAAAAAAUUUCUUUAAGGAAGUCGUAGAGGACGUUAAUACGAAUAUGUGGACAUGCUAUACAUUAAAAUCGGAGUUCGUAUGUAAAAGUUAUGGUGUAAAAUGUAAAGUUACUAUUUUUAGUCGAGAGUAUAAAAAGGAAAACUUACCGGAUGGGGUCUGGUAGAAAGUAGAAAGUCAAUCUCUCUCUCUACUCUCUCCCGCAUUUCUCUCCUCCUUCGGACUUCAUCACCGUCGUCCGGCCGAGUUAGGUGGCAAGCUUGGUAUCAAAUUGAAGCUUGGAACAUCCUCUUCAAGUCUAGGUAGGUGGCUAGUCGUGUUGCGCCGUUGUGAGGGAGGAAUCACGCCGAGAAGGCGUGGCUAUGCGUGGCGGAGUUGUUGCUGGAGUUUUCUUCUCCGGCCACCAUAGCCGAAGCUACUUGUCACGUUUGGAAGCUCUCAUCUUAUACAACAAAACCCCAAAAGGUUUCAACCUAACUCAAUCUAGGUAAGGAGAUUUGAAGCUUUGAAAUUCUAGGGUUUAAAAUUGGGAUUUUUACUGUUUGGCUUCGAUUACCAUAGUUAGACUUGAAAUUGGACUUUGUCUUAGUUAGGGAAGUUGUUGUGCGUGUUGAGAAGAAGAUUCUGUCAAAUUUUGGUGAGCUUUGGAGGUGGUCGGAGUAGACAGCGACGCCGCCUCUUUUGGGUUGUUUUUCGAGUUGUUUAGCUUGUUCAUGUUGAGAGGAGUCCCAUGGUAUGAAAUUUGAGAAUUAUGGUGAAGUUUUGAAUAGGUUUGGGAUUAUUCGAAGUUUGGUAUUAUCGGUGUGCUACUCGGGAAGAUCCUACCGUUGGAUUUCCCUUAUUUUUGUUUCAGAAUGUUGAAAUAAAUGAAAUGAGGCUGCAGGUGGAGUUUGGCAUGAAUCCGAUAAGCUUAACCUUAGUUCGGUAGUGGGUUAGGCGGAAGAGUUUUGGUGUUUAUAUUUAAGUAUUCAUUUUUCUGAAAUUGAUGUUUGGUCCUAAGCAUGGUUAUUGUCACUACCAGAAGAAAGGUUUUAGCCGAAGAAAAUUAAAAAACCAGGCUGACGAAUUAUUUUUUCGUCGGCUAAAGUCGACGUUAGCUGACGAAAUUUCCUUCGUCGGCUAAUUUAAAUUUUCGUCGGCUAUGGUCAACUUUAGCCGAUGAAAUUUUAAUUUCGUUGGCUAAAGUGUCCUUAUAUUUGCAGAUCUGGACAACAGCUCAUCAUCUGGGAAAAAAAACCAGAGAAAAAGUUUGGGUGUUGUCGAAAUCUGUCCAUAAUUAGUUUGUGGAGCUAUAUAUAGGUACGUAUAUAUGUAUAUAUGUUGAUUUUGAGUUUUAUUUGAGUUGAUCGAUUUUGAGUACGUUGGAUGUAUAUAUAUAUGUGUUGAUCGAUUUGGUUGAUGAUUUGAUAAUAUAUAUGAAGUUGUUGCUAAUAAGUAGUAGAUAUAUAUAUAUAUAUAUAUAUGUUAAUUAAUUUAUAAUAUUGUGUUGAUGGUAUGAAGUUGUUGAUGAUAUGAGUUGAUGAUGAUUUUGUGUAAUGAUGUUGAUAUAUAAUAUUGUUAUGUAAUUAUUAAGUAUAUAUAUAUAUAUAUGUGUGUGUGUUAAUUAAUUUGUUAUUAAUUAGUUGUAGUACGUAGAAUACUAAAUGAAUUGAGAUUUUAUAUAUGGAAUUUAAUUAAUUAGAGUUAUACAUAUAUAUUUUGUUAUAUUUUCAGGAUAUGGAUAAGAGUUCGAUUUCGCUUCCAAAAUGGGACAAAAGAUAUGGUAAAGGAGUUAUGAGUUUUCUGCAAUAUGCGCUGGCUAAUGCUAACGGGAAUACAAUUUUCUAUUGCCCGUGCACGAAAUGUUAGUGUUGCAGCGAUAUGCAUCGAUUUGCGAUUGAUAAAGUAUGGCAGCACCUAAAGAGUAACGGGUUUUGGGAGAAGUACACAUUUGGUUAUAUCACGGUGAAACUUCAUCAGGGGGUCCGCACGAUCAUGGCCAAUUUUCUGAGACGGGUAGUACAUCCAACGAUCCAACAACGGCCUUCAUCAACGACAUGUUUCCUUAUGAGAGCGGUGUAUGAGCUCAAGUACAGUAUAUGCCUGAGCCGGUGCAACCCUUCCCUAGAGUUGUCAACAGUUCUGGUAUUGACAAGUACAACAAACUGCUUGCUUUCCAACAGACCCUUGUGUACCCCGGUUGUCAGAAGACCGUUCUUGAAAGUGUGAUGGACGUAAUAAAGAUUAAAGUUGAGACAAAAUCGACCGUGAAGGCUGUUGAUGAUUAUCUACAGUACACUGCUUCGAUGCUGUCCCACAGUCAUUGUCUUCCUACCACUCAUUAUAAGGUUCGAUGUAUCCUGAAAGAUCUUGGGCUUUCCUACAUCAAGAUCCAUGCAUGCAGAUAUAACUGCGUUCUCUUCUGGGGUAAAGAUCCAAAAGGGAAUGACCUUGGUGGCCUUGACGCAUGUCCGGUAUGUCACACUGACAGGUAUAAGCUGACUCCUGCAGGCAAUAGGAAACUUGUGAAGGUACUUCGGUAUUUCCCGUUGAGGGAUAGGCUAGAGCGGUUGUACAUGUCUUCACACACGGUCAAAGCUAUGAGAUGGCACGCUGAUAGGGAAUUGCAUGACGAAGAUACCCUUAUAUACCUUGCUGACGGGGAGGCUUGGAAGCAUAUAGACAAGGAGUUUCCUCAUUUUGCGUCAGAGGUCCGAAAUGUGAGGCUCGGGCUCUCAUCCGACGGGUUUAACCUUUUUGGCAACAUGAGCCUUCAAUACAGUAUAUGGCCGGUGAUUUUGGUACCGUACAACCUUCCUCCAUGGAUGUGCAUGAAGAAGGAAUACAAUAUGUUGAGUUUGUUGAUUCCGAUGCCCGGUUAUCCAGGGAAGUGUCUCGAUGUGUAUUUAAGACCUUUGAUGAAGAGCUUAAGUUUUUGUGGGACGUUGGUCAUCCCACUUAUGACAAGUACAUGCACGAGAUGUUACAGAUGCAUGUCAUGGUUGUUGGUACCAUCAGUGAUUUUCCUGCCCGUGGGAUGUUGUCGAGCAACGUUGUUAGGGGAUACAAGGCUUGUCCAGAGUGCCUUAGCGAUGAGGGAAGCAGCAGUCAUUGCAACAAGAUAUGCAAAUUGGGUCACCGUACUCUCCUUCCAUAUAAUCACGAAUGGCGGUUCGAUAACAAGGCAUUUGAUGGGACCGUAGAAAACGGCGUGCCUCCUAGAAGAUGGACGGGGGAAGAAAUUUUAGCAGUGCUUAAUGAGUACGAUUUUGGGCAGCUCAGCAAUCAUCUCAAUAUUGUGGCGGCAAUACCUGAAAGACCCGACAUGUACAAAUUCUGGACACAUAAGAGCAUAUUCUAGGAACUCCAUACUAGAUUAAGUUGUUGACAUAUAGAAAAGAAUGUUUGCGACAGUGUGGUGGGUACAGUGCUGAACUUGGAGGGGAAGACGAAAGACGGUCCUAAGGCACGCAUUGAUCUAAAAUAAAUGCUUAUAAGAAGACAUUUGUGAUUGAAAGAAGGGAUGAAAAAAAAGCCUCAAGCUCCUUACACCGUGAAGCCUGACCAGAAGAACGUAAUUUUUAAGUGGAUGAGUUGUGUGAAUUAUCCUUCAGGCUAUGCAGGAAAUAUAGCCCGGUGUUUGAACUUCCAGGACAAUAAGAUAUACGGGUUGAAGAGUCAUGACUGUCAUAUCCUGCUACAACGUCUCUUCCUUGUUUUCAUUCGACCGUUUCUUCCCCAUCAGGUGGUGGAGCCGUUAGUAGCGUUGACAAGAUUCUUCCAGAAGUUAUGCAUAUGGGAAGUGAAAAAAUCUAACCUCUGGAAAAUGCAAGAGGACAUCAUUUAUAUCAUGUGUAAAUUUGAGAGGAUAUUUCCUCCAAAUUUUUUUGACAUCAUGCCUCACCUGAAGAUCCAUCUUCCCGAGCAAUUGUUGCUUACCGGUCCAGUACACUACACUUGGAUGUAUCCCAUGGAAAUGUACGUUUUUUACACCUGAAUUCUUCAAUAUACAUAUUCAAUAAUCAUAACACUUUACAACUUGAUUUAUAGGCAACUUAGAGACUACAAAGAUUAUGUGGCUAAUAAAUUCGCACCUGAAGGAUGUAUAGCUGAAGCAUAUAUUGCGCACGAGUGCGUCACCUACAUAAAGUUGUAUUUAGGAGCGUUGAAUGAAACUCCGCAAACCAUACCGGUAAAUGUACCGAAGUUCAAUCUUUCCAUACUCUCUAGUGAUGUUGAAGUUUAUGAAAUUUUGUCAGACUCCUACAAGUUGCAACCACAUGAGCUAGUCAUUGCCCACUGGUGGGUAUUGAUUAACUGUCUAGAAGUUGAAUACUGGAAAAACAUCCAUCUAUAUUGUCGAGACAUUCAAGGUGAUCUCGAGUACCACAAUAAGGAGUUCGCAAACUAUUUUGGCAGCUAGGUACGUAAUUCAAUAUUUCUGUACGUAUUUAUGUUUAUUGCAUAAUUAUCCAUAUUUACAGUUAAAUGGUUGGUUGCAGAUGAACCAUAUUCAAUUUGAUGGUCACCUAAAUUGGUCGCACGAACUAAGACUUCUAGCGAUAAAGCCGAUAAUGUCAAGAGUUUAUCCGAUGUGCAAGGUGAAUGGCGUGCAAUUCAUAUGUGAACAGAGAGACAGCAGACAGAGAACACAGAAUUCUGGGGUGAUGACGCAUAGUGGGCGGAAUGGAGUUGACUAUUACGGUGUUCUCCAUUCAGUGGUGGAACUCGUUUAUGGGCAAGGCAUGACAGUGCACCUCUUCAAGUGUAAAUGGUUUGAUACUAGGCCGCAUAGCAUGAAGACCGAUCAGUACGGAAUAUUAUCGGUGAACACUGCUACAAGUUCUUACGAAGAUGACCCGUUCGUUUUUGCCACAUCGGUAAAACAAGUGUUUUAUCUUGAUGACCUUCCUAAGGGUGACCUGUGGAAAGUAGUCAACCUUGUGCAUCCUCGAAACAUUUACUGGGCGGCUACACUUGGAGAGGCCGAAGACAAGGAAGAAGAUGUUGCGUAUCAAGAGCCCAAAGCAAUAGGUAUUCCUAACUCCUCUACCGUUCGCCGUAAUAAUUUUAAAGCGGGUCGUUCGGUGCGAAUUCGUGAUGAAGAGCCAAGGUUUAUUGAUGUUGAUCGAAAUCAAGAAACAAACGAAGACUCUGGCGAUGAGGAAAGACAUUGAUUACCAGAAAUUAAUUCUGAAGACUCAUCGGAUGAUUCCGAUUACAAGCCUUAGUUUUAAUUUAGAGGACGUAAUCCAUUAAUUUGUAAUAAAAAAGAAUGUAUUACCUUUAUAGUUUACAUAUGUUGAAUUCAUAUUUGUGUUAUUGUAUAUGAAUUUUGGUGAUAUAUGAACAGGAAGUUAGUAUGGUUUACAUUAAACCUUCUGUUUUUUUAAUGUAUUUUUUAUACUUUAGCCGACGAAAUAUACCAUAAUUCGUCGACUUAAACCAUCUUAGCCGACGAAUUAUAGUAUAUUUCAUCGGCUAAAACCAACUUAUUUGAACGAAAUAAGUCAUAAUUCAUUGGCUAAGAUGCGGUUAGCCGACGAAUACCCUAAUAUUUCGUCAGCUAAACCCUAAACCCUAAACCUUAGCCGACAAAUACCGUAAUAUACGACUUGUUGCGUCUCAUCGAUUUGAAACUAUUUUCAGUUGAAGGUCCGGCCAAAAUACUUAAUUUCGACGGUCCAAUGACCUUUUCCGUGCGUUUAGGGGUUUAGGUGUUUGACUUAUGGGAUUGAUCGUCCGGAUCGAGCCCUUAACCUUGUCGGAUCAAGUUGAAUUUUUUCCCAUUCAUGUAUUUUAUCAUGAUGGUCAGAUCUGACCGUCGGAUUUUCGUUUCUCAAGUUUGAUAAUCACAAUCACAACAUGGUUACUAAUGUUGUAUAACUUGUUUACCAAGUGUUAAGUAAAUGUUCCGUUUCAAAAACAAACUAUACGUAGAACCUUCAAAUGCAAAAAAUCAUGAAAUAAGAUAUGACCAGAAUGGUGAAAUACGUCUACGGUUGAAAAAUCACGGUAUUCCGGUAAAGUCUCAGUGCCGAUAGUUGCGGUCAAUGCAAUUUUCCAUUCUUUCUCUUUAUGGGUAGCCCUAUCUUCGGUGGUUAUUUUCCGUAAAAUUUUUAUACAACUUGUUGCGUCUCAUCGAUUUGAAACUAUUUUCAGUUGAAGGUCUGGCAAAAUACGUAAUUUAGACGGUCCAAUGACUUUUUCCGUGAGUUUAGGGGUUUGACUUACAUGAUUGACUGUCCGGAUCGAGCCCUUAACCUUGUCGGAUCAAGUUGUAUUAUUUUCUUUUACUUUUUCCACUCACGCCUUGGGUUCGGCGUCAAGUGCUUGGAAACCACCGACACCGGGUCCGGGGCAUGACAUGUGUCUUACUUGAUUCCUGAUGAGAGGACCAGGAUUAAGAUGUUCAUUGGGGCACUCGGUGGUGUGUAUGGAGACAAGAUGACGGGUGUAGUGUACCCGACCUUUCUUGAUGCGGUUGGCGUAGCUAUGGCUAUUGAGACCAGGAGGGCAUAUAGUGCCCGGCCCCGAGAUUUCAGGGGUCUUAGUCAGGGUCCAUCAAAGAAGGCUGCUUCAUCAUCCGCUUCUGGAUCUUCAGUUGGUAGUGGCAGUAGUGGUGGAUCGAGUUCUAAUUCUUCGUUCAGGGCUAAGGGACGUCACAUGAGACCUUUCCGGAGCUAGUUGGGUAGACAGUAGACUUGACAGUUUGGUAUUGGUGGCAGCUUCCAGGGUGGGACAUCUGGUGGUUAGACUUUCUCUUUUGGACAAUAGCAGUCUACUAGGUGCUAUGAGUGUGGUAGUCAAGAUCAUUUCAGGAGAGAUUGUUCCUUAUUGGCUCAGAGAACCGCCCCCACCCCCACUCACCUAGUCGGACAGUCUUCAGCCAGAGGCUCCAGCAAUGGUACUCAUGUCAGUUUAGCAGCUAGGGGUGGCUCUCAACAAGGUAGUGGUUAGCGUGGACGUCCUAUGACUCGCGCUAGACUUCAUGCUAUGACCCAGCAGGAGGAUCGUACUUCACCAGUGGUCGUUAUUGGUACGUGAUUAAUUUUUGGUCAGCCUGAUUUUACUUUAAUUGAUCCCGGAGCUACACAUUCAUUUAUGUCUAGUAGAUUUGCCCUCCACGUCACAUCCCAACCCUUAAAUUUUUACCAUAUUUACUAGCUUGGUUAUAAUAAGAAUUUUACCGUCUCCGUUAACGAAGUUAUAGUUUAAUUGGUCCCUAGAGAUGUUUUAGGGGACGAUUAUUUUUGGAGGAUUAUUCGUAGGAGAAAAAAAAUGUGGCGAAGGUAAAAAUGGUAAACUUUAGCUAGUAAAAGGUAAUUUGUAAUAGGGUAUUUUGUUUUGGGGUGUUAAAUUGAUGGAGUUGGGUUUAAGUGUGGUGUUGGACCGGGUUGGUGUAAGGCUCAAACACCAUAUCCCCCUCUCUUUUUCUUCUCUUCCUCUUCUCUUUUUCUUCUCUUCCUCCCGACCUCUCUCCCGACUUCUCCCGCUGCCGGAUCCUCCAGCCAUCGCCUACCGCUGUCUGGCCAGCCACCGGCCGCCGCUCCAGCCCAGUUCAGAGCCCCGCCACCUCCUCUCCCUUCCCGGCUUAGUGUCCCCACCGGUGAUGCCGCCGAUCGAGAGAUAUUCCACCGGAGACGUCGACUGCUCCUUCGUCGGAACUCCCAUUUCCGGCCACCAUAACUCGCGAUUCUUGGCUCGUUGUGAAGCUCUCCUCCCGUGCAUCAAUCCCUCCAAAGAGCUCGCCCUCUAGUGGUCUAGGUAAGGAGAACCGGUGAGUGGAAACUCUAGGGCUUUUAUGAUGUUUUCGUUCGAUUGGCAUAGUUAGGCUUGGAAUUGGGUGUUGUGCUAUUUAAGGAAGUUGUAGAGGGAGUUGAGAGGAAGAUUCUGUUAAAAUUUGGUGAGCAUUGGAGGUCGCCGGAAUCGGCCUCCGGCCGCCGCCGCUGUGUAGGAGAUUUUUAUAGUUUUAAAUGUAGAAUAUUAAGGGGAGUUUAUUGAUGUAAAGUAUGGAAUUUUUGGAUGAGUUUUGGAUAGGUUUGUGAAUUUCCUAAGUUUGGUAUUUUUGGCGGUUAAUUAAUAUAGAAUCCGGCCGUUUGAUUAAAGUUGUUUAAACUGUGGGAAGAUGUAGUUACGGCUGCUGGUUCUAGGGUUGAAAUGUGGACCAUUUCGAAGUUAGACAAAGAUGAGCGUGAUAAUGGCUCUCGGUUAAUUUUUGCCUAUUUUGUGUAAAUAUUGGAAUUUCGGCUGGGAAAUUAAUAUUAUAUUUGGAAUAGGUCGUGAGGAGGCUCGAGCAGACGAGGCCCCAGAUCGACAUCAGGCUUAGGCCUAAUUUGUGAGUGGACUUUUAUUUUAAAUAAUGUGCAUGCGAAAUAAUUUAUGUUGUUAGAGAAUAACCGAAAUUGAGAAUUUUGGUGAGUAUGUAUAUAUAUCCAUAUUUGGAUGAUUAUGAGAAUAAUAUGUAUAUGAAGAAAUGCUAGCUAGCUAUACGUACUUUUCCACCAUACUGAGGUAAAAUUCAAUUAUGGUGCGACGUGAGCGUUAGACGCAAUUGUCGUAGCCCUAUAUAAAUAUAAUAAUUUAUAUAGGGGAUAUGCGCGUAUAUAUUUAUACACCGUCUUUUCCACUAUAAUGAAGUAAAAUGCUAUUAUGGUGCGACGUGAGCGUUAGACGCAAGCGUCGUAGCCUUGUAUGAAUUUUCUAUUUGUCUUUAUUGUUUCAAGAAAAUUCAUACAAGGGAUAUGACGAGUGUAAUACAUACAUAUUUUAUUUUAGCUUGAGAGGCUCUUAUUUUUGAAGUGUUGGUGACUAGCGCGGCUAGUCAUGUGUCGGUAAAUUCGGUAAAUUUUUAAAAGCUUUUGAGCUGGUUGCAUGCCAUUAAUUGUUUUUCCACUGAAGUUUAAAUUGGGAAAGCAUAAAGAAUUAUUUGUUUUAAAUUUAAUUUAUUUUUGUCCACUCACUCUAACGUUAUUAAAUGUCUUGACCUGGGCCCUUUGUUUUAAAAUGCCCAGUCUGCAGAGUUCGGGUUGGAUCUAGUUGGAGGCGAGGCAUUGUCACCCGCAUUUCCACCACUUUUCAUCCGUAGGUUACCUGUUUAACCUACCUGUGAUUUCUUACUUCCGCUAGUGUCUAGUAGCUCUGAAUACUUGGGUUUAAUGUAUAUUAUUUCGGUUGUGGGCGAAGGCUUGUUGACAUUUUAGAAUAUUUGUCGGAGGAUUUAUGUCAUCUUAUUUGGAUAAUUAUGUGUUGAUUUGGAAGAUGUUAUAUUAUUUUCUGUUAUUGGUGGUGGUUGUAUUUGGGGAGCACGUAGGCUCCAGAAGUUAAGGUUGGAUUGAGAAUUUUAGAAGUGUUUGCAGGUUUUCUUUAGAAGGGGUUGUCCAUUUUCAAUGGAGGUUAUGCCGAAUUUUCGGUAAUAUAUUCCUUAGAGGUGGUCCCCACAAGAUUUACUCCAGGUUUUAGGGUAAAAUUCGGGGUGGGUCUUGUCACUCCACACCAAUGUGUCAUUAUCGUCUCUUCUAGACGAGUGGCAUGUGUCUCUACCCUCAGGCGAGGUAAUGAGAAUAGAUUGGGUGUUUAAUGGUUGUGAAGUUCUAGUGGAGGGAUUUAAUUUCAAGGCAAUUCCAUUAGAUAUUGUGGAGUUUGGUGUGAUCUUGGGAAUGGACUUUUCAGAGGCAUAUAGAGCUAUGAUAGAUUGUUUUCGAAAAGUAGUAGUGUUUCAAAGUCCAGAUGGACCUGAAGUUACAUUCACUAUGCCAUUUCUUGCAUCAUGCGACACAAAUGUUGUGUCGCCUGAUAAAAAUCGUAAGUUUCGCCUUCUAACAUGUCGUUGAUGAGGUUCUCUGAUGACAUAAAUGUUGUGUCGCCUAUAAGAACCUCAGGCGACAAAAGACUUUUUUCAUUUUGUGUCGCCUUAAUUGAGAUAAGACGACAUGGUAUAUAUGUCGCCUGAUAGUUUAAACAACGACAUGCUAGAAGGCGACGUAUCUUUUUUUUGCCGUGAGGCGACACAUCUCUUUGUGUCGCCUUAUAACUACGAGAGAGAGAAAUACGCCUUACAACAAUAUAUAGGUGUAGGUUAAUUUGUUUAAAGACGACAUUUAAACAUCAUCUGAAAAUGUUACAGGCGACAUAUACUUGAUGAAUUAGAAUUUAAACUUUUCCACGCUACAUUUAUGUGUCGCUGGAUGAACCCACACGACACACUAUUGAUGUUGUUUCUGGUCUAGACGUAGUACGACGACACAUAUGCAUUGGGCGAAUGAUCUUCAGGCAACAUAUAUUUUUUCUUUUUUCAUUUGGUCUCUUUAAGACAAUAGGUAUCUGUCGUCUGAUAUGCUUUAAGCUUUCACUACGUGAUAUCUUUUAGGCUUUCGACAUUUCCAGGCGACAUUUUUCUAUCGUAUGAAUGAGCUUGAGCUACAUACAAGUGAUGUCUUCUUUUGAUUUAAAUCGAAUGUACUGUACAAUUAGUAUACAAAAUUGUACUAUUUGUAUACAGUUUCAAAUAAAUUACAACAUAAGAAAAGACAUAAAUCUAAUUUCUUCAUGUUUCCUCUCCGAGGCUAGAUCUGCUGCCCUCAAUAUUGACCAAACAACAAGCCCCUUUUUUACAAGCCACUUGCUGGAAAUUUGCCAUGACCUCCCUGUAUUCUUCUAAAUACCAAGUUAUCGACAUAUAGCACCAAAGACAACGAAAUUAGCCACAACUCAAUUCAAAAACCACAACACAGUAACAACACAUCAAUUCAAAUUGUAAUCCUUACCUCCAAAUCCGCUCAAAAACUAACCCUGAAACUUCUGCUUGCCCGAUUUUCCAAUGCAUGCAACAUAACGAUCAAGUCAGUCUUCUUAACAACACCCCAAAUAUCACAAACCAAGCAGCAAUCACAAAGGCGAAUGUUUUACCUUUUGAAGACCGACCAGAGUCCCUGAUUAGGAAUUCGAGCCUCCGUUCCAAUCCCAAACCACGACUGCUGCUCUUAAAUCCCUCCAAGGCGCGACUGGGCUUCACCUAAGAGCUACACACUCGUCGGAUUUUAGGUUCGGGUUUACUCCCAACACAACAACAACAACCCUCAUAGCAUCCCCGGUGUUGGUUUGGUAUUCAGAAAGAUGAGACGAAUUCGAGAAGGGGAAGAAUGACGCCGAGAAACCUCGCCUGAGACUCUCCGAAAAAACCCGAAAAAACCCGGAAAAACUUAAUUGGGGAUAUCUCCGAUUAGGGCACGAGUUAGAGAAACAACAUCACAGAAAGGAAGAGGGAACUGAGAAGGAGAAAGACCUUACCAUCGACCAACUAGACGAUGGCCGGAAACGCCGGAAUUCCGAGAAGACAACCGGGUUCCUCCUCCACCGAUCUCUCUCAUCUAUGGCUCUACAAACGAUUUAAGGGUUGGGUUAGCUAGGUAGAGAAAAGGAAGUCGAACGUUUUGAUGGUGGUCUCGCGGUGUGCGGUGGCCAGAGACGACGGCGUCAGGCGGAGGACGCCACUGACGCAGGCGAUGUCGAGAGGAGAGGGAGAGAAGAACGGGUCAACGCCCGUAAUGGCUUUUGACUGAAGUCAGCCCCCUCUUUUCCUUUUUAAUACCCAAACCAACAGCCAAGAUUUAAAAAUUUGGUAUUCAAAUUUCAAAAAAUUUAGAAUUGCGCCUUUUUUUUUUUAGGAAUUGCGCCUCUUUUCCUUAACCUAACAUACGAACAUAUUAAUUUGUCUAGGUACAAAAUCAAAUGUUGGGGGGAACCAAACUCAAUUGUUGAGGGUAUUCCCUCUAAAGGUAUUUCAGAAACUAAAAAGUAACUAUAAGACAACACAUAAAUGUUGUCCUAUUAACAAAAAAAAUUUGUCUGCAAAAUGAAAUUGUUUGGAGGGAAUCCACCUAAGUUAAAAUUAAGGCUAGGGUUUCGUUUACCUCCAAAGUCAGAAAUUACACUAUUCCAGUAUCAGCCAACACAAAAAUGAUGUCUUAUUAACAAAAAAAGUUGUCUGCAAAAUCAAAUGAUUUGGAGGAAUCCACCUAAUAAGUUAAAAGGCUAGGGUUUACCUCCAAAGUCAGAAAUUACUAAAUUUCAGUAUCAGCUAACACAUAAAUGUUGUCUUAUUAACAUAAUUAAGUAAAAUUUUCACACAAGUUGUCAAUUCAUAAAAAUUCAAUAUCAGACAACACAUAAAUGUUGUUGGAUUAACAUAAUUAAGUAAAAUUUUCAUACAAGUUGUCAAUUCAAUAAAAUUCAAUAUCAGCCAACACAUAAAUGUUGUCUUAUUAACAUAAUUAAGUAAAAUUUUCACACAAGUUAUCAAUUCAUAAAAAUUCAAUAUCAGACAACACAUAAAUGUUGUCGGAUUAACAUAUUUAAUAAAAUUCUCACACAAGUUGUCAAUUCAAUAAAAUUCAAUAUCAGCCAACAAAUAAAUGUUGUUUUAUUAACAUAAUUAAGCAAAAUUUUCACACAAGUUGUCAAUUCAUAAAAUUCAAUAUCAGACAACGCAUAAAUGUUGUCGGAUUAACAUAAUUAAGUAAAAUUUUCAUACAAGUUGUUAAUUCAAUAAAAUUCAAUACAAGUUGUCAAUUCAAUAAAAUUCAAUAUCAACCAACACAUAAAUGUUGUCUUAUUAACAUAAUUAAGUAAAAUUUUCACACAAGUUGUCAAUUCAUAAAAAUUCAAUACCAGACAACACAUAAAUGUUGUCGGAUUAACAUAAUUAAGAAAAAUUUUCACACAAGUUGUCAAUUCAAUAAAAUUCAAUAUCAGACAACACAUAAAUGUUGUCGGAUUAACAUGAGUAAAAUUUUCACACAAGUAUUGGUCAAUUUGAAAAUCCCUCCAAAAGUUGAGAAAAAAUAACCUUCAUAGUUAGACGACCUAUUAGUGUUGUCCGAAUGUAACUUUUAUUUUGACAAUUGAGACUAAAACAGACAUCUUUCUUCACCAACAUAUAUGUAUUGUCCCAAAAACAUACAUUUUUUUCAAAGAAAAUUAGUAUUGUCUAAGUGUAUAUUUCACCGACACAAAAAAAAAAUGUGUCGCCCCGAAGCCUCGAACCAUACAUAAUUUUGUUUGUGUCGCCUGAUGGGUGUUGCCUGAUGCAGGAAAUGGCAUAGGGAUUUCAAGGGGAACGGGAUGUUAUUUCAAGUUACCUAAUAUCAGCUGUUGCUGCUAGAAAAUUGUUAAAUAAAGGUUGUCAGGUGUAUUUAGCACACAUUGUGGAUACAGGUGUGGGAGUUUUAGGAGUGAAGGAUAUGCCUGUAGUGAGGGAGUUUCCAGAUGUUUUUCCCGAGGAGUUGCCUGGUUUGCCUCCUGUAAAGUAGAUAGACUUUACUAUUGAGUUACUUCCCGGAACUAUGCCUAUCUCACAAGCAUCUUACAGAAUGGCUCCAACGGAAUUGAAAGAGUUGAAGACUCAAUUACAAGAGUUGGUGGACAAGGGUUUUAUUCGGCCUAGCAUGUCUCCAUGGGGUGCUCCGAUGUUGUUUGUUAAGAAGAAAGUUGACACCAUGAGAUUAUGCAUUGAUUACAGGAAACUAAAUCAAGUUACUGUGAAGAAUAAAUAUCCACUGCCCCGCAUUGAUGAUUUAUUCGAUCAAUUGAGAGGUGCUACUGUCUUUUCAAAAAUCGAUUUGAGAUUGGGAUAUCAUCAGUUGCGGAUUGGGGAGAGUGACAUAGCCAAGACUGCUUUUCAAUUACGUUAUGGUCAUUAUGAAUUUGUGGUGAUGCCGUUUGGAGUUACUAAUACACCCGCUGCGUUCAUGGACCUCAUGAAUUGGGUGUUUAGUCCAUACCUUGACGGUUUCAUGAUCGUAUUUAUAGAUGACAUCUUAGUCUACUCAAGAAGUGAGAAGGAGCAUGCCAAACAUCUAAGAAUGAUAUUGCAGACUUUGAGAAAUGCUCAGCUGUAUGCUAAGUUCAACAAGUGUGAAUUUUGGCUAGAUAAAGUGGGGUUCUUAGGACAUGCGGUUUCGGCAUAAGGGGUUAGUGUGGAUUCCCAAAAGGUGGAAGCAAUAACAAAUUGGAGAAGACCUGCCACUGUGAUGGAGAUCCGUAGUUUCUUGGGGUUAGCAGGUUAUUAUCAACGUUUUGUGUAAAACUUUUCAAAGAUUGCUGCUCCUCUUACAAGAUUGACCGAGAAGGGUGUUAAGUUUGAAUGGUCAGAUCAGUGUGAGCAAAGUUUUCAAGAAUUAAAGAAUCGCCUGACUUGUCAAGACCCACCCCGAAUUUCACCCUGAAACCCGAAGUAAAUCCUACGGGGACCACCUCCAAGGAAAAUUUACCGAAAAUUCGGCAUAACCUCCCUUGAAAAUGGACAACCCUUACUAGAAAUACCUGCAUUGUCACAUCCCGACCCUUAAAUUUUUACCUUAUUUACUAGCUUGGUUAUAAUAAGAAUUUUACCGUCUCCGUCAUUGAGGUUAUGGUUUAAUUGGUCCCUAGAGGGGUUUCGGGGACGGUUAUGCUUGGAGGAUUAUUAGUAGGAGAAAAAUACGACAACGGUAAAAAUGGUGAAUUUUAGCUAGUAAAAGGUAAUUUUUAUUCGGGUAUUAUUUUUUCGGGGUGUUUUAUUUUUGGAGUUGGGUAUAAGUGUGGUGUUGGGCCGGUUUGGGUGGAGGCCCAAAACCCAUUUCUCCCUUCUCUCGUUUUCUUCCCGGUUCUUCCUCUCCCCCGAGUCCACCCGCUACCCGACUUUCCGGCUAUCCUCCCGCCGCCGUCCGGUCACCAAUCGUCGCCGCACUGGUCCCGUUCGAUCGGCCUCCGACCCAGCUUCCAUUCUAGGCUGGUGAGAGCCGCCCUAGCUCCGCCGUGAAGGAGUUCUCUCCCUCGAAAGGCUCGGCUGCCUUGGUGGUUCCAUCGCUGGAACUUCCUCCUCCGGCCACCAAUCCGGGCAAGCCUUGUACUGUUUUAAAGGUUUCCAACCCAGCCGCCUUGCCCUAAAAGGACUCACUCCGAUUUGCUUUAGGUAAGGAGAAAUUUGAGGUGGAAGUUCUAGGGCGUUUUUUAUGUUUCUGUUCGAUUGGCAUAGCUAGGCAUGGAUUUUGGGUUUGUGCUAGUUAGGAAAGUUGUAGAGGGAGUGGAGAGGAAGCUAAUGUUAAAAUUUGGUAGGAUUUAGAGGUCGUCGGAGUCGGCCUCCUGCCGGCGGAGCAGGCGGCGCCGCUGUUUGGGAGAUUUUUAUGGUUUUAAAUGUAGAAUAUUUAGGGGAGUUUAUUGUUAUGAAUUAUGGAAUUUUUGGAUGAGUUUUUGAUAGGUUUGUGAAUUUCCGAAGUUUGGUAAUUUUGGCGAAUUAAUAAUGUAGAAUCCGGCCGUUGGAUUAAAGUCGUAUAAUCUGUGGAAGAGUGUAAUUAAGGCUGGUGGUUUUAGUAUUGAGGUGUGGACCGUAUCGAAGUUAGGCAUUAAUGAGCGUGUGUAUGGCUCUCAGUUAAUUUUGCAUAUUUUGUUUAAAUAUUAUAUUUUUAGUUGGGAAAUUAAUUAUAUAUAUUUGUGUCAGAGUUCGAGGAAACCUCAUUGGAGUGGCGAUUUGGAUUUCGUCGGGCUUAUGCCUAGAGUUGUGAGUGGACGUUUGUUUUAAUUGAAAAGCAUGCGAUGAAUUAUUUUGUUGAUAAUUUAUUUCUUCUGAUGAGACUUAUUGAUUUCUCGGUUAUUUGGCAAUUCUUCCUCCUUUGGAGAGUUCUCGAAAAUGAGAUUUUUGGUGCAUAUGUUUAUUGGAUGUUAUGAGUAUAGUAUGUAUAUAAAUACUAGCUAGCCCUACGUGCUUGGUCCGUCAUAAUGAGGUAAAAUGCCAUUAUGGCGUGACGUGAGUGUUAGACACAAGUGUCAUAACCCUAUAUGAAAACUACUUUCUUUUCUGGUUUAUUUAGGUUUUCAUAUAGGGAGUCCACACGUAUAUAUACACCGUCCUCUUCGGUCAUAAUGAGGAAAAAUUCUAUUAUGGCGCGACGUGAGCGUUAGACGCAAGCGUCGUAGCCUUGUAUGAGUUUCUAUUUUUCUAAGUUGUUCAUAGAAUUUAUACAAGGAGUCUGACGAGUGUAAAUACAGACACGUAUAUGUCUAUAUAUAGUUUAGCCUGAGAGGCUCCAUUUUAUUUGAGUUGGUGACUAGCCGGAGCUAGUCGUGAAAUUGCCAAUUUUUGAGCUGAGCGUUUUUGGGCGGACGUAUGCAGUAUAAUUUCUUUGGAAAUUAAAAUGGGAAUGCACAAAUAUUUUUUUUUAAUUUAUUUUUGUCCACUCACUCUAACGUUUUCAAAUGUUUUCCCCUGGGCCUUUCGUUUUAAAAAUGCCCAGCUUGCACGUUAGCUUAGUUGAGGUCGGGCGUACAUGGAGAUGAGGCAUAGUCAUCAUAUAGCUUCCGCUUGUUAAUUAAUUAUGUUUCAUUUCUUCCUCUUAGAAUUGCUUUGAACCUAUAAAGGGUUGAAUAUGAGAUUUGUUUAGAUUAGUAAUUAAUUUGGGUGGUGUUGUGAUUUGGGGAGCACGAAGGCUCCAGGAGUUUAAGGUUGGAUUUAAAUUUUCAGAAGUGUUUGCAGGUUUUAUUAGGAAGGGUUGUCCAUUUUCAAGGGAGGUUAUGCCGAAUUUUCGGUAAACUUUCCUUGGAGGUGGUCCUCGCAGGAUUUACUUCGGGUUUCAGGGUAAAAUUCGGGAUGGAUCCUGACAGUUGGUAUCAGAGCACUAGGUUAUUCGAUUGCUUUCUCUUUUUAGUACUACCUCAUAUUAUUGGUCAUACUUAGUGUCUAUAGAGUGAUGGUCCGACCGCAGCGGAUCUAUUAGCAUUAUAUGCUUUAGACAUUAUGUGUUUAUUAAGUUUAUGAUGUAGUUGUUCUUAUCUUGUUUAUGGACAGUAUUGUACCAUAAAUGUCUAUAUCUCUAAGACUAUGCCUCCAUACGCUGACCUCUUAAGUAAAUCUUUAUGCUGUGAGUAAUGAAAAUGUGUAUGGAUCACCCCUUUUUCCAAGGUUAUCGAGUUGAUAUCAUAAAUUGUUAGAGUUCAAUUCCGAGAUGUGAACUCAUAUGCGUGGCAGCAUUCCUUUCUUGUGAUCAAUGAUUGUUUGGGUUAUGAUUAAGAUGCUAGGGUGAGCAUCUCGUGCGAAUGUGUAGAAGGUGAAAAGUUUAAUUCAAGCCUUGGAAUUUACUAAUUAUAGUGGGCAAGUGUGAAGUUGUUGUAGUCCGAUAGAAAAAUCUUGGCUUCGAGUUAUGUGACACGACCCACCCCGAAUUUCACCCUGAAACCCAGAGUAAGUCGUGCGGGGACCACCUCCAAGGAAAAUUUACUGAAAAGAUUAAGAAAAUCUCCCUUGCAGAUGGACAACCCUAACUCGAAAAUUUCAUAUUACACUCUUAAUUUAACACUUCUGAACAUCACAUAAUAUACAAAAAUUCUAAAGUAUUCAGAGCUACUAAACACAAGCGGAAGCAAGAAAACACGAGUAGGUUGAACAGGUAACCUACUGGCGAAAACUGGCAGAAAUGUGGGUGACUAUGCCUCGUCUCCUACUAGAUCCAACCCGAACUCUGCAGACUGGGCAAUUUAAAACGAAGGGCCCAGGGGAAAACAUUUAAUAACGUUAGAGUGAGUGGACAAAAAUAAAAUAAUAAUUAAAAUAUUUAUGUUUCCCCAAAUUAAAUUCUAAGGAAAAAUCGAAUGCAUGCCGCAAGCGACAAAACUUUUAUCCCAUAAAAUAUCGAGCCUCUCAGACUCUAUAAUAUAUGUAUGUAUUUACACACGUCCAUACUCCCUAUAUAAAUUCAUGGGUCUAUAUAGGGCUACUACGCUCGCGUCCAACGCUCACGUCACGCCUUAAUGCGGUGCUACACUACGCCAUCAAGGUGGACAGACGGGUGUAUAAAUAUGUGUCCAUNNNNNNNNNNNNNNNNNNNNGCUCACGUCACACCAUAAUGCGGCUAUAUGCUACGCCAUUAAGGUGGACAGACACAUAUGGCUAGCUAGCAUUUUCUAUACAUACUCCCUCAUAUAUACAUAUUUAUAUUCACCGAAAAUCCCAUUUUCGGUAACUUUCUCUCAGAGAAAUAAAAGCGUCAAAAUUAAUUGACGUCAAAACUCCAACAAAAGGAAGUGUUCAAUCAUGAACCAUAGCAUGCAUAUUAUUUCAAAUAAAAGUCCACUCACAAAUUAGGCCUAAGCCUGAUGUCGAUCUGGGAUCUCGUCUGCUCGAGCCUCCUCACGUCCUGUUUCAAAUAUAAUAUUAAUUCCCAACCAAAUAAUCCAAUAUUUAAUCACAAUAGGCAAAAUUACCUGAGAGCCAUAAUUACGCUCAUCAUUGCCUAACUUCGAUAUUCUUACAUCGGAACGAUCCGAACUUAAAUAUCAUACUCAACAGUCGUAAAUACAACCUCUCCAAAAUACGACUUAAAUCCUACGGCCGGAUUCUACAUUAAUUAACCGCCAAAAAUACCAAACUUCGGAAAUUCACAAACCUAUCCAAAUCUCAUCCAAAAAUUCCAUAAAUCACACAAAUAUACUCCUCUUAAUAUUCCACAUUUAAAACCCUAAAAAUCUCCUAACCGGCGGCGGCGCCGCCGGCGGCCGGCAGCCGUUUUCCGGCGACCUGCAAAUGCUACCAAAUUUUGGCAGCAUCUUCCUCUCAACCUCCUCUACAACAUUCCUAACUACCACAAACUCCAAUUCUAAGCCUAAGCACAUCAAUCGAACACAAAUACACAAAAAGCCCUAGAAAUUUCAAGUUCCCAUUUCUCCUUACCUAGCUCACGACGGAGCGAGCCCUUUGGAGGGAUUGAAGCACGGGAGGAGGGCUUCCUUUUGGGCUAAGGCUCGCCGGAUAUGGCAGCCGGAGGAGGGAGUUCCGGCAAGAAAACCGAUUCGGCAGUCGGAGCUUCGGGCGGCGUUUCUCCCUCACGACGGCGCUAGGGAGGCUGUCACCGGUCUAGAAAUGUUGCUGGGAGGGAGACCGACCGAACGGGACCGGUGCGGCGGCGGUUGGUGGCCGGACGGCGGCGGGAGGACGGCCGGAAAACCGGGCAGCGGGAGGCUCGGGGAGAGGAAAAGAAAAGAGGGAAGAAGAGAAAGGGAGGAGGAAAAAGAAAUGGGUUGGGCCUCCACCGGUCCAACCUAUAUCAACCCAAUUCCAAAAAUAAAAAACACCCCGAAAGAAUAAUACCCGAAUAAAAAAUUACCUUUUACUAGCUAAAAUUUACCAUUUUUACCGUCGUCGUAUUUUCCUCAUACUAAUAAUCCUCCGCACAUAAUCGUCCCCGAAACCCCUCUAGGGACCAAUUAAACUAUUUACUCAAUGAUCGAGACGGUAAAAUUCUUAUUAUAAUCACGCUAGUAAAUAAGGUAAAAAUAUAAGGGUCGGGAUGUGACAUUAUGUGACUUCUGGGAGAAAAUAGUUAGAAAGAAAGUUCGAAGUAGUGGUGUUUUCUUUUGAUGUUAAAGUUAGUUGAAGUGCUAUGGAGGGUACCUAUAGUAACUCUUUGAGGUACCUUUAUGAGUUGUUGCGGACCCUAAGCUUGAGCGAUUUAGUCACGUGGGAUUUGUGGCUAGUGUUUGGGUGGUAAGGCAUUGCUACAUAAAGAGUUAAAUGUCAAUUUAGAUAAGUCAUGAGUGAAGGCCAAUUUGCCGACUAUGUUUAUCCGCAGUAGAAAGCAGUUGGGAACAUUUUGGGAUAAUGCUGGUUGUGUCAGCAUAUAUUCUGGUUCCUAUAACUCUAAUUAUGGAUAAGUUUUUAUCUUUUGAGCAAUUUAUUAAGAUGGUGGUGGUAAUAUCUUUUAGAAAUGAUGGAUAAUAGUAGUCGAUGAAUAGUAAGAUUUCUGAUGAUUUUGGUCUCUAUUGUGGGUUAGUUGAAGUUUGUUAAAGCGCUAAGUGUAAU